CCAAUAGCGUAUAUUAAAGUUGUUGCAGUUAAAAAGCUCGUAGUUGAAUUUCGGGGUUAGUAAGUUGGUCAUGCCUUCGGUAUGUACUGGCUUUACUGAUUCCUCCUUCUUGACGAACCGGGAUGUCAUUAAUUUGGUGUUGCGGGAAAUCAGGACUGUUACUUUGAAAAAAUUAGAGUGUUUAAAGCAGGCUAACGCUUGAAUACAUUAGCAUGGAAUAAUGAAAUAGGACGUUAAUCCUAUUUUGUUGGUUUCUAGGAUCGACGUAAUGAUUAAUAGGGAUAGUUGGGGGCAUUAGUAUUCAAUUGUCAGAGGUGAAAUUCUUGGAUUUAUUGAAGACUAACUACUGCGAAAGCAUUUGCCAAGGAUGUUUUCAUUAAUCAAGAACGAAAGUUAGGGGAUCGAAGACGAUCAGAUACCGUCGUAGUCUUAACCAUAAACUAUGCCGACUAGGGAUCGGAUGAUGUUAUCUUAAUGACUCAUUCGGCGCCUUACG
RNAcentral lists this ribosomal RNA (496 nucleotides) under uncultured Glomeromycotina. RNAcentral's name for it is "partial small subunit ribosomal RNA". It matches the Rfam family "Eukaryotic small subunit ribosomal RNA", at positions 591 to 1092 of the family's 1831-position model. Lineage: Eukaryota; Fungi; Glomeromycota. The record is from RNAcentral.